This is an RNA transcript of Tripterygium wilfordii, 834 nucleotides long. It is a transcript of the gene named holotricin-3-like, with no coding region annotated. NCBI's taxonomy places the organism in Eukaryota, Viridiplantae, Streptophyta, Magnoliopsida, Celastrales, Celastraceae. The record is from RefSeq and is a predicted model, not a curated record. The transcript has 3 exons.
UUUCGUCGGUUCGUGCAAGAGAGGUUCGUGUGAGGCUGUUCCGCGGUGAAAGACAGAGAAGGUUCGGUCAUUCGUGAAAGAGAGAAGAUUAAUUUUUUUUUUUGGAGAUCAGAUCUGAGCCGUUUAUUUAAUCCGACGGCUGUGAAGCAUGUCCUCAUUAAUGCAUGAAAUCCUAUUAAUAGCAACGUUCACAAGCUUUUUUAGAGUCGGCAACUUCUCUGUGCAGCAACCCUUGAUCUCCAAGUUCAGUACAUUUGAGGACCAAAUGAAGCUUCCCUUGGCACCUAAGCUUGUUGCUCUGCUCGUCAUUUUGGCAUUGAUGUUUUCCUUAGUUACUGCCAUUGGUGGCGGUGGUGGAGGCAGAGGAGGUGGCCGUGGUGGAGGCAGAGGAGGUGGCGGUGGAGGCAGAGGUGGCGGCGGUGGAGGUAGAGGUGGUGGUGGUAGCAGAGAUAAAGGUGGAAGAAGAACAAGCCCAGGAGGUAGAACUUGCUAUUAUUCUGGUUGUACAGUCCUGCCUGCAGGUGCAGCCGGAGGUCAUCAUCGCAAUGCAUCUUCCCCGUCCUAUCCGUUGCUUUGCUCCAGCCUCUGUAUGGCAUUCCUUUUGUUAUUGCUUCAUGCCAUGCUUCAAAGUUGAUUUCUCUCCUAGAAGAUGAAACCGCUAGAGUAGAAGACAGGUUUUGUUCCACAUAUAGGUACAUUAACACAAAUUGAAAUGAAGAACAGCAAAACAAGCGGCGUGAAUCGAGUUGAGAGGAAGCUCAAGAUCUUGGCCCCGGAAGCCUCUGCUGUGCAUCUGCAAUGGCGUCUCCAACACCAGCAUGAAUUGCACCUGUG